UACAGAGGUCUCAAGCGUUUGUUCGGAUUCAUUGGGCGUAAAGGGUGCGUAGGUGGCGCUGUAAGUCGGGUGUGAAAUUUCGGAGCUUAACUCCGAAACUGCAUUCGAUACUGCGGUGCUUGAGGACUGGAGAGGAGACUGGAAUUCAUGGUGUAGCAGUGAAAUGCGUAGAGAUCAUGAGGAAGACCAGUGGCGAAGGCGGGUCUCUGGGCCGAUACUGACGCUGAGGAGCGAAAGCGUGGGGAGCGAACAGG
RNAcentral lists this ribosomal RNA (254 nucleotides) under uncultured bacterium. RNAcentral's name for it is "partial 16S ribosomal RNA". It matches the Rfam family "Bacterial small subunit ribosomal RNA", at positions 524 to 776 of the family's 1533-position model. The record is from RNAcentral.